RNAcentral lists this long non-coding RNA (263 nucleotides) under Ananas comosus (pineapple). Its description in RNAcentral is "long non-coding RNA (ACOM_LNC010046)". Lineage: Eukaryota; Viridiplantae; Streptophyta; Magnoliopsida; Poales; Bromeliaceae. The record is from RNAcentral.
CUUACGUUUGGACUUGAGACAUUUUGAUAGGCUCAUAAUGUGGAUUUGAAUUAAAUGGAAGGAAAUCAAUUAUACUAAAAGCCUAGCGUGACUCAAGCUCAAGAUCUUCUACUCUGGUAUCUUGUUAAAUCAUGAAAAAUAAUUGUUUGUCCAUGAAAGCUUAAGGUGGCAAGUAAUAAUAUUUUUAUAUUUUUAUAUUUAAUAAUUUACAACUCGAGAAAUUGUAAAUAGUUUGGAAAAAUAUUUAAUUUUUAUUUAUGUAA